RNAcentral lists this ribosomal RNA (253 nucleotides) under uncultured bacterium. RNAcentral's name for it is "partial 16S ribosomal RNA". It matches the Rfam family "Bacterial small subunit ribosomal RNA", at positions 524 to 776 of the family's 1533-position model. The record is from RNAcentral.
UACGAAGGGUGCAGGCGUUACUCGGAAUUACUGGGCGUAAAGCGUGCGUAGGUGGUUCGUUAAGUCUGAUGUGAAAGCCCUGGGCUCAACCUGGGAAUGGCAUUGGAAACUGGCGACCUAGAGUGCGGUAGAGGGUAGUGGAAUUCCCGGUGUAGCAGUGAAAUGCGUAGAGAUCGGGAGGAACAUCCGUGGCGAAGGCGACUACCUGGACCAGCACUGACACUGAGGCACGAAAGCGUGGGGAGCAAACAGG